This 492-nucleotide ribosomal RNA is filed under the name uncultured bacterium. RNAcentral describes it as "partial 16S ribosomal RNA". It matches the Rfam family "Bacterial small subunit ribosomal RNA", at positions 29 to 507 of the family's 1533-position model. The record is from RNAcentral.
AGUGAACGCUGGCGGUAGGCCUAACACAUGCAAGUCGAACGGCAGCACAGUAAGAGCUUGCUCUUACGGGUGGCGAGUGGCGGACGGGUGAGGAAUACAUCGGAAUCUACUUUUUCGUGGGGGAUAACGUAGGGAAACUUACGCUAAUACCGCAUACGACCUACGGGUGAAAGCAGGGGAUCUUCGGACCUUGCGCGAUUGAAUGAGCCGAUGUCGGAUUAGCUAGUUGGCGGGGUAAAGGCCCACCAAGGCGACGAUCCGUAGCUGGUCUGAGAGGAUGAUCAGCCACACUGGAACUGAGACACGGUCCAGACUCCUACGGGAGGCAGCAGUGGGGAAUAUUGGACAAUGGGCGCAAGCCUGAUCCAGCCAUACCGCGUGGGUGAAGAAGGCCUUCGGGUUGUAAAGCCCUUUUGCUGGGAAAGAAAAGCAGCAGGUUAAUACCCCGCUGUUCUGGCGGUACCCAAAGAAUAAGCACCGGCUAACUUCGUG